Molecule: ribosomal RNA, 1346 nt
Filed under: uncultured bacterium
Lineage: Bacteria
Description: partial 16S ribosomal RNA
Rfam family: Bacterial small subunit ribosomal RNA
Source: RNAcentral
GACGAACGCUGGCGGCGUGCUUAACACAUGCAAGUCGAACGGAAAGGCCCUGCUUUUGUGGGGUGCUCGAGUGGCGAACGGGUGAGUAACACGUGAGUAACCUGCCCUUGACUUUGGGAUAACUUCAGGAAACUGGGGCUAAUACCGGAUAGGAGCUCCUGCUGCAUGGUGGGGGUUGGAAAGUUUCGGCGGUUGGGGAUGGACUCGCGGCUUAUCAGCUUGUUGGUGGGGUAGUGGCUUACCAAGGCUUUGACGGGUAGCCGGCCUGAGAGGGUGACCGGCCACAUUGGGACUGAGAUACGGCCCAGACUCCUACGGGAGGCAGCAGUGGGGAAUAUUGCACAAUGGGCGGAAGCCUGAUGCAGCAACGCCGCGUGCGGGAUGACGGCCUUCGGGUUGUAAACCGCUUUCGCCUGUGACGAAGCGUGAGUGACGGUAAUGGGUAAAGAAGCACCGGCUAACUACGUGCCAGCAGCCGCGGUGAUACGUAGGGUGCGAGCGUUGUCCGGAUUUAUUGGGCGUAAAGGGCUCGUAGGUGGUUGAUCGCGUCGGAAGUGUAAUCUUGGGGCUUAACCCUGAGCGUGCUUUCGAUACGGGUUGACUUGAGGAAGGUAGGGGAGAAUGGAAUUCCUGGUGGAGCGGUGGAAUGCGCAGAUAUCAGGAGGAACACCAGUGGCGAAGGCGGUUCUCUGGGCCUUUCCUGACGCUGAGGAGCGAAAGCGUGGGGAGCGAACAGGCUUAGAUACCCUGGUAGUCCACGCUGUAAACGGUGGGUACUAGGUGUGGGGUCCAUUCCACGGGUUCCGUGCCGUAGCUAACGCUUUAAGUACCCCGCCUGGGGAGUACGGCCGCAAGGCUAAAACUCAAAGGAAUUGACGGGGCCCCGCACAAGCGGCGGAGCAUGCGGAUUAAUUCGAUGCAACGCGUAGAACCUUACCUGGGUUUGACAUGGAUCGGGAGUGCUCAGAGAUGGGUGUGCCUCUUUUGGGGUCGGUUCACAGGUGGUGCAUGGCUGUCGUCAGCUCGCGUCGUGAGAUGUUGGGUUAAGUCCCGCAACGAGCGCAACCCUUGUUCACUGUUGCCAGCACGUUAUGGUGGGGACUCAGUGGAGACCGCCGGGGUCAACUCGGAGGAAGGUGGGGAUGACGUCAAGUCAUCAUGCCCCUUAUGUCCAGGGCUUCACGCAUGCUACAAUGGCUGGUACAGAGAGUGGCGAGCCUGUGAGGGUGAGCGAAUCUCGGAAAGUCGGUCUCAGUUCGGAUUGGGGUCUGCAACUCGACCUCAUGAAGUCGGAGUCGCUAGUAAUCGCAGAUCAGCAACGCUGCGGUGAAUACGUUCCCGGGGCU